UCAAACAAAGAAAAACAAUAAAGCAAUGAAUAAAAGACAAACAAUUUUAGUAUGGGUGUUAAACAAGGAGCAGGUCUUGUCCUUUAUGUAAGCGCACGCCACGCAUUAAAAGGAGGCAGAGCCUCUUUUCUCUCGGCUAUUCCGGAAAAACGGUGGCUUUCUCUCAUUUUCUCCUUGGUUCUUCGUAUAAAAAAUUGCCGAUCUACGAAAAUCUAGCCAUUCGAUUUUAGAUCCGACUUCGGUAACGUGAUCCUCAAAGUUCGAUCUACGUUUUGACCGAACGUUUUGAGAUUUUGUGUGGUUUGGAGUUGGUAGGAGCUUCCCGAACAUUUGGUCUUUGCUUGACAAAUUUUUGAUUUUGUGUGGUUUGAAGUUGGUAGGAGCUUCCUGAACAUUUGGUCUUUGCUUGAUAAAUUUUUGUAACGCAUUGCAAGGUGGUGUCUAGGAGACCUAGUGCUUAAUAUCCGCGCAGCCAAGACAUUGAUACUUUGGUUGCAGGUUUUGCGGAUAUAGAUAUUGACUCGUCCACUAGCGUAUGGGAUGCUAUGAUUGGAGCAUAUCGCGACAGUCAUAAGUCACAGACUCAUGGGUAGUCUGCAUUUUGGGUGUUUUAUUUAUGGCUCGUGUCCUACGUGGCACAUGUAUUUGUUGUGCCUGUAUUUUGGUAUGUAAUUAGUGUAAUGUGUUUAUAAGCCUUAAAUAGAUAGACUUGUAAAUGGCUCUUGUUGUUGAUAACAGUUAUGUAUUAGAUGUAAUUCCGCUAUUGAUAUGUGUUCCGCUGCACAUUGAUAUUUA
Molecule: long non-coding RNA, 795 nt
Organism: Alnus glutinosa
Lineage: Eukaryota; Viridiplantae; Streptophyta; Magnoliopsida; Fagales; Betulaceae
Exons: 5
Source: RefSeq, a predicted model, not a curated record